This 389-nucleotide ribosomal RNA is filed under the name uncultured bacterium. RNAcentral describes it as "bacterial SSU rRNA". It matches the Rfam family "Bacterial small subunit ribosomal RNA", at positions 28 to 415 of the family's 1533-position model. The record is from RNAcentral.
GACUAACGCUGGCGGCGUGCCUAACACAUGCAAGUCUAACGAGAAAGCGGUAGCAAUAUCGUGAGUAAAGUGGCGAACGGGUGAGUAACACGUAACUAAUCUGCCCUCCAGUGGAGGAAAACUCAGGGAAACUUGAGCUAAUCCUUCAUAACGUGAUGAGAUCGCAUGGUUUUGUCAUUAAAGAUUUAUCGCUGGAGGAGGAGGUUGCGUCUGAUUAGCCAGAUGGCGGGGUAACGGCCCACCAUAGCUAUGAUCAGUAGCUGGUCUGAGAGGAUGAUCAGCCACACUGGGACUGAGAUACGGCCCAGACUCCUACGGGAGGCAGCAGUGAGGAAUAUUGCGCAAUGGGCGAAAGCCUGACGCAGCAACGCCGCGUGUAGGAUGAAAUC